UCCAGCCAGAUAAACUGGCAAGAAUGUAUAUAGAUUAGUAUUAUGGAGAGUUGUUUUUCGAAAAUUUGACGAAUUUAAAUUCACUUAUGGACAAAAUUUUUAAUGCCAUCGGAUAGGAUACCAAGCAUAUGAGUAAAGAGUUUCCUAUUAGAAUGGUCAACGGAUUUGAUAGAAGCGAUAAAAGACCUACUGUGCGUAAAGAACGUUCUUCAGAUGAAGACGUUAUUAGUAUAAAAUUUGGACUAAACUAAUUUAUAUUUGAUUCUUGAAUCGGGGCUUUUUAUUUGCAAUGUAGCUUGUCUGCAUAAUUGUAAUUGAAAGUUUUAUUUGUAAUUGUAUAUUGAGUUCCUGUGGCUAUCAUGUCUGUCAAAUUUGUAUUAACUUACAAAUAAAGAUGUUUUUUGUUGUCUUAUUUUUAAUAAACAA
Xenia sp. Carnegie-2017 is the source of this 426-nucleotide long non-coding RNA. RefSeq lists it as uncharacterized. Lineage: Eukaryota; Metazoa; Cnidaria; Anthozoa; Malacalcyonacea; Xeniidae. The record is from RefSeq and is a predicted model, not a curated record. The transcript is spliced from 2 exons.